RNAcentral lists this ribosomal RNA (328 nucleotides) under uncultured eukaryote. RNAcentral describes it as "partial 18S ribosomal RNA". It matches the Rfam family "Eukaryotic small subunit ribosomal RNA", at positions 1470 to 1796 of the family's 1831-position model. The record is from RNAcentral.
CCCUUAGAUGUCCUGGGCCGCACGCGCGCUACACUGAUGCAUGCAACGAGUUUAUAACCUUGGCCUGAAAGGUCUGGGUAAUCUUUUGAACGUGCAUCGUGAUAGGGAUAGAUUAUUGCAAUUGUUAAUCUUGAACGAGGAAUUCCCAGUAAACGCGAGUCAUCAGCUCGCAUUGAUUACGUCCCUGCCCUUUGUACACACCGCCCGUCGCACCUACCGAUUGAAUGGUUCGGUGAAGAUCUCGGACUUCGAUAUUUAUUCUUUAUUGAGUUUAUAUUGUGGGAAGUUAUCUAAACCUCAUCAUUUAGAGGAAGGUGAAGUCGUAACA